RNAcentral lists this long non-coding RNA (4626 nucleotides) under Sus scrofa (pig). RNAcentral describes it as "lncRNA (ENSSSCG00060026526.1)". The record is from RNAcentral. Lineage: Eukaryota; Metazoa; Chordata; Mammalia; Artiodactyla; Suidae.
UAAUCUCCGACGUGGUGUACGGUCAUGUCUGCUGUUUUUUCUUUGUGAGGAGACAGUCAUGAAGCCCAGCCCACACCCAGGAGGAGGGAAGGUGCGAGUCCAGCCCUGUCCUUACGACCAGACAUUCAUCCCCCCCCUGCCUGCUCCAACCCUGGGAUUCUGGAACAGAACAUUUUAACAUAAAAGAACUGAAGUGGAUCUAUGGAAGGCAGCAUAUAUGUGGAUCUUAUUUUUGUACCCAUUCAGCCAGUCUACAUCUUUUGGUUGGGUCCUCUAAGAAAGAAGAAGAAGGAAACAGUGCACAUUUGUCCCUGGUACUGCCAUGUCCUGCUGCUCCACAAAACUGGUGGUCUUCUUCCUUACUUGGAUCAGGCAGCUGAGCCAGGGGAACAAGGAAUUCCAGAGAUGGUGUGAACACACUUGGCAUUUGGUGAUUGGCUGGCGUCCUCCUCUGAUCUCUGAGAAGAGCUGUAAAUUCCUUCACCUUUGUUAGACCUGAAACCACAUCCAUACCCCAAGCUUUAACUGUGACAAUGCCAGAUCCUUAAUCCACCGUGGCGAGCCAGGGAUCGAACCUGUGUCCCAACAAACCUGCAUCCCAGUAUUCCCAAGACACUGCUGAUCUUGUUGUGCUACAGUGGGAACUCCUGAAGAGGCUAUUUAGAUAAAGGAUCUGGAGAGGGAAGAUCAUCCUGGAUUAUGUGAAUGGGCUCUGUUUAAUCACAUGAGUCUUUAAAAGUGGAAGAGCAGAAGGCAGAAGGGUGUGUUAGAAUGAUGCUCUGUGAGAAGGACCUGCUGCCACGGGCUUUGAAGGCGGAGGCAGGGGACCAUGAGCCAAGAAACACGGCCACCUCCACAAGCGGUGCAUGGCCCUCAGCUUACAGUUGGUAAGAACUCAAGGACUGUGGUCCUAUGCCUGAAAGGGACUGAAUUCUUCCAAUAACUAGAAUGAGCAGAAAGCAUUCUUCCUCAGAGCCUCCAGGAAGGAAUACAGCCUACAACUUGAUUUUAGUCUGCUGAGAACCGUGCUGAAUUCCUGACCUCCAAAUCUGCAAAAUAAUAAGUUUUUUUGUCUUAAGCCACUAAGUUUGUAAUAAUUUGCUGUGGCAACAGUAGAAAACUAACACCCUGAGAUAGAGAUAAAAUUUGUUAAUAUCAUAUAGCCAAUAAGACUAUACCUUUUGACUUUUUUUCUCCCCAGAUAGAUGUCUACACGGUGCAUUUAACUUUGUAAAUGUAUGAUUUUUUAACUAAGAGUAAACAGCCAAGUCAAACACAAGUGUAUUACUCUAGAUAAUUAAACAAUUUUUGAGUGCAUAUGUUAAACCAUGUCCCAGUGGACAUUGAAAACACAUCCUACAUUUUUGCCUUAUUUCCAAGUUUAAUUGUUUUGUUUUUCUUUGCAGGUGAAACGGGAAAUAUCAUUUCAUUUUAUAAACAAUAAGCUCCAUAAGGGCAUCACCUUAUUUCUCUUGGCUGAUGUCAUCUUAUCACAAUACUUGACACAUAGCAGGUGCUAAAUGAAUGUUUGUUGAAUGGGUAAAGAAAUGCUUGCAACCUCAUCACUAAUUAUUUCCUCCUAUGAAAUCUGUGAUUCACCCACGCUGAAUUCCUUCAGUUCUUUUAAUAUAAACCAACCAUGUUCUCUCUCACCAUGAGAUUUGUGCAUUUGCUUUUCUUUCUGCCUGGCACCUACACCCCCACUCAGCUUGGCUAACAAGCAGUCAUAUGUUAGGUCUUAGCUUAGACGUGACCCCCUCUGGGAAGUAGUGUCUUGUCACCUCAUCUUCCCACCUGUGACUCUUUCUGCUCUUAGAGCUUCUGUAUUUAAUGCCAUAGCCCUUAAUACAUUGUAUCUGUCUUGUAUGAGCCCCCAUGGAUGGUCUAAUGCAUCGAACUUUAAUAAUUUAGCAUCAGCUCCAGAGUCAGACUGCAUUGAUACACAUCCUGUCUCCACAACUGACUAGUUGUAUUAUUUUAGGUAAGUUAGAUCUUUUUGUGACUCAAUUUUCUCAUCUGUAAAAUGGGGAUAAUAUUAAUAUCUCCACUGCAUACACUGUGGUGAGAAUUAAAUGUUAAGGGCUUAGAAGAGAGCCUGGUGUAUGGCUAGUACAUGGGAAGCCAUUGUUUUUUUAAAUUCCUUGAAAUCAGGAGCACAAACUGUUCACUAUUGUCCUCUGUUUCUGAUGCAGAAUGCUUGAUACUGAGCAAGUGCUCAAGAUCCUUUGGUGACUUGAAUAGAAUUGUGACCCAGUGAGAAGCAUCCUUUUAUCAGACCUGAACUGGAGAUAAAAGAGCAAUGUCUUGAGUGAGAUGAGCUACCCAGAGAGGCUCAACACUAAAGCUAGGAGAGUGCUUCUCCCUAAAAUGUCUGGAAGGCAAAGUGCUGGCCAUGUUGCUCCCUGGAGAAGGCUAUGGAGUCGAGCCUUCUGAUAUAUAAGCGUCGUCACAUCUCAGAUGCAUCAGCCUAGUCCCAAAACAGACAUGGGUUUUAGUAAUGGCAGACCUUCCAUCCCUACCUCCCCCCACCCCACCCACACGCCCCUUCCUCCACCCCAUCCCUGUUCUCCCUGGAUCAGGAAAUUCUCCGCCAGCUUUGAGUCCCAUUACAUUGACCCCAGGGGAUCAGCCCUUGCCGUUUGUUCUGUCUUUUAAAUUUUAUUGGGGUAGAAUUGAUUUACAAUGUUGUAUUAGCUUCAGGCUUAUAGCAAAGUGAAGCGGUUCUGCAUAUACAUACAUCCAUGCUUUCUUCCCAUAUAGGUUAUUACAGAGCGAUGGAUCAGCCUUUGAAUUUCCCUGCAAGGAAUGUCCUGCUGCACGGAGCGCUGUCUGCUCUUUUGUCAUCUUUGCUGCCUCCCUCCCAACCUUCCUUCCUUGAAAAGGCCCACCUUGGCUUCCAUUUCCAAAGAAUCUUGAAGCAGCUUGCCGGUGAGUGGUUGAGCUACUUCCUCCCUAUCUGGUAUGUGGUUUAAUGUGUUCUACCUACCAGGUGAUGUGGUCCUGCUUUACCAGGGGCUUCUUAAGACAGCUGAGACAACAGCUUCUUUCAUUUUUAAUUAGUUGCUUUUAUAAACUAAAUGCAUGUCUUAUUUUAAGAGAGAAAUUAUGUAAAAGAAGAAAAUCAUUAAGGUUUUGUACAUUAUUUUUUACAUUAGUUUAUAAUUUAUAAACUAAUACAUUAUACAUUAGUACUUUUCCCCUUUGUAUUUCAAAUAAUUAUAGUGCUAAAAUAAUUCGUUUUGAAUAAGUCAUUUUCCAAAAUUAAUUGUUGAUGUGAUUGAUUUUCCUGUUUAUCCCCCGAAAGCCUCAACCUACCUGAAAGACUUCCCAAAGGACCCUGAAAUGUAUAUGUAUACUCUUCUAUUUUCUUACUUUUUAUCUUUAUCUCAUUUUUCUUGGUUUUACCACAGGCAUCUAAGUUAGUUAUUUGUUUUUUAAAAUCAUGUAAUCACUAGUAUUUAAUGUAUAUAUAUACACAUAUAUAUAUAUAUAUUUUUUUGUCUUUUUGUCUUUUCUAGGGCCACACCCAUGGCAUAUGGAGUUUCCCAGGCUAGGGGUCUUAGCGGAGCUGUAGCCGCCAGUCUACUCUAGAGCCACAGCAACUCGGGAUCUGAGCCGCGCCUGCGACCUACAUCACAGCUCACAGCAACACAGGAUACUUAACCCACUGAGUGAGCCCAGGGAUCGAACCUGCAACCUCAUGGUUCCUAGUCGGAUUUGUUAAUCACUGAGCCAUGACAGGAACUCCUAUUAUUUUAUAUUGUAGUUUUAUUUUUAUUGUAUAACUGACAUACAUUAUAUUGGUUUCAGUUGUACAACAUUUAGUAUUUGUCUAUGUUGCAAAAUGAUCACCACAAUAUUGUUAACAUCCGUCACCAUAUAUAAUACAGAGUUUUUUUCCUGUGAUGAGAACUUUUAAAAUUGACUGUCUUGACAACUUUAAAAUUCGUAAUACAGUAUUGUUAACAGUCCUUGCUAAGAUAUGCCUUACCUCCCCAUGAUUGUUUAUUUUAUAGCUGGAAGUCUGUACCUGUUUUUAAGAUUUUUAUUUUUUAUAUUAUAGUUGAUUUGCAAUAUCCUGUCAGUUUCUUCUAAACAGCAAAGUGACCCAGUCAUACAUAUGUACGUUCUUUUUCUCACCUUAUCCUCCAUCUUGUUCCAUCACAAGUGACUAAAUAUGGUUCCCUGUGCUAUACAGCAGGAUCUCAUUGCUUAUCCACUCCAAAUGCAGUGGUUUGCACCUACUAACCCCAAACUCCCAGGCCAUCCUACUGCCUCCUCCUCCCCCUUGGCAACCGUGAGUCUGUUCUUCGUUUCUGUGAGUUUGUUUCUUUUCUGUAGGUAGUUUCAUUUGUAUACCUUUUGGCUUCCUUCAACUAUUUGGCUCACGUCUACCCUCCACCUCUGACAACCUCCAGUUCCUUCUCUCUGUCUAAGAGGGUUUUUAUUUUUUCAGAUUCCACAUGUAACUGAGAUCAUGCAGUAUUUGUCUUUCUCUGACUUAUUUUACCCAGCAUAAUGCCCUCAAGGUUCAUUCUUUUGAUCACAAAUGGCAAAAUUUCAUUCUUAUUUAUGGCUGAAUAAUACUCCAUUGAAUAAAUAUACAUCCAGCUCUCUGUAUCUGCA